UUUACCAAUAUUGCAAGCUAUCGGUGGAAGUCAUGGGAGCUGACAACGAAACAUCUAUGACAACGAAACAGUUCCUCGUAUAAAAUAUACAUAAUGAGUCCAUCCACCAAAUAAAGUAAAUAGUUCGGAACACAUACUUUACGACUUAGCCAAUGUUGCCCAAUUUAUACACCAGACACUGAAAGAAGAAGGAAUUUCUUCAGUUCUUUAUGUUGGCAGGGUCAUGAGAGUGUGUCCUUUUUAAAACGAAACCAUUUUACAUUGUUGCGACUUGCGGCCAAAACAAGAAUUUUGAAGAAAUUAGCUUAAAAUCUGUAAAAAUAAAACCAUAUCAUAAUAUAAAAGCGAGCAAAUGAAUUUAUUGAAAAAAUAUUUAUAUAUAUAUCAAACUAGCGGGUAUAACCCGGCCUUGCCCGUGGAACGCAUGUUAAACUUGUCGGACGGUAAACAAACAAUUUUCAUAGAAACAUUUUCCGCCAAUUUAUCAAUGUUGCGAGUGGAAUUUCCCAAAUCGCUGAAACACGUAUUCAUUAUAUUCUUAUGAAGAGCUUUGAAAAUAAGUUUGAAGCAAAUCGGACACAACUUAAAACUUCGCACAAAAAAUCUUUGAGUCGCAUUCCACCCGAAAAAAUUUGGAUUCUGCGAAAAGUGUGAAACACGUAUCAAAUGAUUUUUCUUAUAGAUCUUUGGAAACGAAUUUGAACACAAAACGUCAUCCCCCAAAUCGUUGACCUCCAUUUCCACCAAGGAGGAACGGAUUUUUCGAAAAGUGUUAAACACCCCUCAAAUGAAUUUGAACAAAGAUCUUUGAAAAUAAGUUAGAGGCCGAUCGGAUGGUAAACAAAAAAGUUACAUACAAACGUUUUUCGCGAUUUUUCCACACUUGCGGGUGGAAUUUCCCGAAACCCCGUCUUAACGUGCACCUACAUCACAUAAGGCGUACCCACCCUUAAUAAGACGAAUGCCUCUCCCUCAUGUUGAACAAAUAUGCUCUCAUGCUCCUCCCCCUUUCAACAAACGAUGAGCCGGAAAUUCUCUCUUAACUGAAUAAUUGAAAACGAAAAAAUUAGCAUACUAGGAACAUUUCCGAAGACCAUUUCUCCUAACAUCUGAAACCACAAUAACAAUUAGUUAUAAAUGAUUUUAUUAAUCUAUACCCGGAAAAUUUUGCCCGACAAGAGUCGGUGUUCACGCAUGAGCACGUUACAGCGAGUCUCACUUACACCCUCGGUAAAAUUUCAUAUUGUACCGAAAUGAAAGCAGCAGCAUAAAAAUAGAUAACGCACAUGUGGUCGAUUAAGAUUGGAAAGUGACAUACGCUACGAAAUGUCACGUUAGAAAUAUAAUUAGCAAGGUUAAGAAAAACACCCUAAUUAAAAACAAUAGUUUAUGACCGCUGCUACCGAUGGUGCAUCGACAGCAGAUCUCAAAUAAGAUACUCUGUUAGUGUAUAAGAACUAGGAUUCGUAAGAAU
Drosophila montana is the source of this 1474-nucleotide long non-coding RNA. RefSeq lists it as uncharacterized. NCBI's taxonomy places the organism in Eukaryota, Metazoa, Arthropoda, Insecta, Diptera, Drosophilidae. The transcript has 3 exons. The record is from RefSeq and is a predicted model, not a curated record.